UUCCCAGGUGUCCCCAUUUGGUGUUCAGGACUCAACACAGAGACUCACCAUGGAGUCUGGGCUCAGCUGGGUUUUCCUUGUUGCUCUGUUACAAGGUGUCCAAUGUGAGGUGCAGCUGGUGGAGUCUGGGGGAGGUUUGAUCCAGCCUGGGGGGUCCCUGACACUCUCCUGUGCAGCGUCUGGAUUCACCAUUAGCAGCUACUACAUGGACUGGGUCCGCCAGGCUUCAGGGAAGGGGCUGGAGUGGGUCUCAGCCAUUAGUAGUGGUGGUAGCACAUACUACGCAGAUGCCGUGAAGGGCCGGUUCACCAUCUCCAGAGACAACAGCAAGAACACGCUGUCUCUGCAAAUGAACAGUCUGCGAGCCGAGGACACGGCCGUGUACUACUGUGCGAGAGACACAGUGAGGGGACAUCAGUGUCAGCCCAGACACAAACCUCCUAUGGGGGUGCACAGGGCCGCCAGGCGGCGCUCAGGACCCACUGUACCCAGAGUCAGUCCAGGGCAAUUGCAGGUGGAGG
Non-coding RNA from Propithecus coquereli (Coquerel's sifaka), 521 nucleotides. NCBI's taxonomy places the organism in Eukaryota, Metazoa, Chordata, Mammalia, Primates, Indriidae. The record is from the annotation of a RefSeq genome assembly.